GGAGGCAGCAGGCACGCMAAUUACCCACUCCCGGCACGGGGAGGUAGUGACAAAAAAUAACGAUACGGGACUCUUAUGAGGCCCCGUAAUCGGAAUGAGUACACUUUAAAUCCUUUAACAAGGAUCCAUUGAAGGGCAAGUCUGGUGCCAGCAGCCGCGGUAAUUCCAGCUUCAAUAGCGUAUAUUAAAGUUGUUGCGGUUAAAAAGCUCGUAGUUGGUUCUGCGUGCUACGCUGUCGGUUCGCCGCCUGCCGGUGUAACUGGCAUGCCGUGGCAUGUCCUGCCGGUGGCGCGCGGGAGCCUUGUCAGGUGACGGCCCGGGUUUAAUCGCUCGGUUUCGUAGGCCGGAGGUCCAACCCGUGCGCCUACUCUAUCCUACCUAGGUGCUCUUCACCGAGUGUCGAGGUAGGCCGGUACGUUUACUUUGAACAAAUUAGAGUGCUCAAAGCAGGCUGAAAUCUCUGCCUGAAUAGUGGUGCAUGGAAUAAUAAAACAGGACCUUGGUUCUAUUUUGUUGGUUCUUAGGAACACAAGGUAAUGAUCAAUACGGACAGGCGGGGGCAUUCGUAUUGCGACGUUAGAGGUGAAAUUCUUGGAUCGUCGCAAGACGCACGAAAGCGAAAGCAUUUGCCAAGUAUGUCUUGAUUGAUCAAGAACGAAAGUUAGAGGUUCGAAGGCGAUCAGAUACCGCCCUAGUUCUAACCAUAAACGAUGCCAGCCAGCGAUCCGCCGAUGUUCCUCCGAUGACUCGGCGGGGAGCUUCUUCCCGGGAAACCAAAGCUUUUGGGUUCCGGGGGAAGUAUGGUUGCAAAGCUGAAACUUAAAGGAAUUGACGGAMGGGCACCACCAGGAGUGGAGCCUGCGGCUUAWUUUGACUCAACACGGGAAACCUCACCAGGCCAGGACAUUGGAAGGAUUGACAGAUUGAUAGCUCUUUCUUGAUUCAGUGGGUAGUGGUGCAUGGCCGUUCUUAGUUGGUGGAUCGAUUUGUCUGGUUAAUUCCGAUAACGAACGAGACUCUAGCCUAUUAACUAGGCGUUUUCCGGUGUCCCCGCCACCGGCGACAAUCAUUCUUCUUAAGGGGACAGGCGGCUUAUAGCCGCACGAGAUUGAGCAAUAACAGGUCUGUGAUGCCCUUAGAUGUCCUGGGCCGCACGCGCGCUACACUGAAGGAAUCAGCGUGUGCCUCCCUGGCCGAAAGGCCCGGGUAAUCCGCUGAACCUCCUGCGUGCUAGGAAUUGGGGCUUGCAAUUGUUCCCCAUGAACGAGGAAUUCCCAGUAAGCGCGAGUCAUAAGCUCGCGUUGAUUACGUCCCUGCCCUUUGUACACACCGCCCGUCGCUACUACCGAUUGAAUGAUUUAGUGAGGUCUUCGGACUGGCGGUAAUCCCUA
This 1391-nucleotide ribosomal RNA is filed under the name Brachycoleus decolor. Its description in RNAcentral is "SSU rRNA". It matches the Rfam family "Eukaryotic small subunit ribosomal RNA", at positions 423 to 1750 of the family's 1831-position model. Lineage: Eukaryota; Metazoa; Arthropoda; Insecta; Hemiptera; Miridae. The record is from RNAcentral.